This 209-nucleotide unclassified non-coding RNA is filed under the name Hevea brasiliensis (rubber tree). The record is from RNAcentral. Lineage: Eukaryota; Viridiplantae; Streptophyta; Magnoliopsida; Malpighiales; Euphorbiaceae.
AAGAUCUCUUUGUAUAUUGUGGGAGGAAGUUCUCGCUGAAGACAGUCUUGAUGUUGGCUGAUCAAAUGAUCACAAGAAUAGAGUACGUCCAUUCCAAAGGAUUUCUGCAUAGAGAUAUAAAGCCUGAUAACUUCCUUAUGGGCCUUGGACGCAAAGCAAAUCAGGUUUACAUAAUAGAUUUUGGAUUAGCUAAAAGAUAUCGAGAUGCA